Molecule: long non-coding RNA, 4051 nt
Organism: Lytechinus pictus (painted urchin)
Lineage: Eukaryota; Metazoa; Echinodermata; Echinoidea; Temnopleuroida; Toxopneustidae
Exons: 6
Source: RefSeq, a predicted model, not a curated record
AUAGAAAGCUAAAGAGAGCGGCGCGCCAGAUUUAAGCGAAGGAAGAGUGAAUAUUUGUGUCUUGCAUUUUCUUGUAAAAAGUUGUUUUCUUUCUUGUAAUACGAGGGCAAAUUAGAGGCCUUACACCAGAUUUAAUUUGCUCUCUGCAAGACGACUCUGUGUGAUUAGCUCAACUCAUCCACGUUCUAAUACAUUCAAGAAUUCAAGCUGGGCUCAAUGUAGGACAGAUCAGAUCAAGCAUGAUGCCCGCAGAUUUGAACCGCUGUGAAGCCCCUACCACCAGUACCAAUUACAUCGGCCCAUCGACCACUAGACCGCUGCAGCUCUGGACAUCAGAUCAGGGGCCUGUUUUUAAAGAGUUACAAGUAACAUUUCCAUUAUGGCAACUACCAUGAUAAUUAGGCUCAGUAGCCAAUCACAAUCAACAUUUCCAAUGAAGUUACAAUAGUUGUUGGUCUUUAUGAAUCGGGCCAGAUCAUCAUCUGCUCAGCUCACCUGCAAAGCUUGGACACGAAGCAGAUCGUCAGAACAAGUCAAGGGAUCAACUGGUGGUGCAACAGCGAGGAUGUAGCAGAGAAUGACUUCAGGAUCUUUGUGAAGAGUGUGGUCCCUGGCGGGUUAGCUUCAGAGAGUGGAAGUCUCCAUGAAGGGGAUCAGAUCAAGCAUGUGAACAGUGAAAGUCUGAAUAUAGCUUCAAAUGAAAGUCGUGUCACUCAGUGUAAACGUGGAUGCACUCCCUAUUUGGUGUUUACCAUCUUCCAAGCAUAAUUAACAGAGAUAUCCUACCAUACAGGGCAUGACGCCAAUCUUGAAAUCUUCAUCUACAUGGAAUGUCUGGGGUGAACAGUUAUUGGUCUUUGCGUGAAGUGUAAUCAACACAGGAAUGGAUUUGACACCAAACUCUUCAUAUACAUUCUACAUAUUGUGAUAGUAAUGUAUUCAUGAUAGAAAUAGUUUUACUGGGAUGUGCUCUUGACACCAGUCAUUAUCUACACUCUAAUCUUUGGUGUUGGCCCUAUUUUAAGUGUGCUUUUUCAGAUCAAGUUUUUACUGUAAUAGAGUGUAGAUGAUUUUUGGUGCUAAGUGUUCAGCUAUGUGGAUUUUUACUCACAUGAAUGUCUAGAAUAUGGUUAGCCCUAUAGUUCAUGGGGGGGGGGUACAUCAGACUGAAUGUCGGUUCAAAUUUUAUGUAAAAAUCUUUAGUAUCAUAUACGUGACUUGCAUAUAUGUAUUCACUACUCAUGAACCCAUUUUGUUAUGUAUUUUAUGACUUUUGUGUAGCUUCAAGGAGCAGGUCCAAGCUAUUAUUUCUUUGCUGAUAGUUUAGGAAUAUUUUUAUGAGAUUUUUGUGGAGUUCAUAGCAUACGACUUAAAAAUAUAACAAUCUGUGACAAAGCAAAGGAAGAAUCUAUUAGUAAUACAUUUGUCCCAAUUCCUUAAUGAAGCUUGCAUUUGUGUUUAUAUUGAGCUGACUAUUCUGCAAAAGUGGAUCCAAAGGUUUUCCAGAGUUUUUCCCUAUUGAGUUUUAUCUCUGGUUUUUUACCCUGGAUCUACUUGUCGUAGAACUAGUCAGAGGGGGGGGGGGGGGUGUCAUAGCGCGAGGUUCAAAUUGCAGCGACAUUGCCAGACAUUUAUCGUUAAAGUCUCACACAUCUUUUGAGACCAAAUUUGCAAUGCCCGGGUAUUCGGUUCCAAAGAUUUUGGACAGUUUGUAAGGGCUUUUCAGAUCCAAGCUGCUCAAAAGUAAAAAACAUAAUUUUAUGUACAAAUGCGAUUUAUGUUUCUUGCCAAAUGUCAUAGAUUUGUUAAUAAUUUUACCUCUAAUCAUUGAAAUUCAUUAAUUUUAUUAAAAAAAAACAAAUCAAAAAGUUGAAAAACAGAAAUACAUAGGAUAUUUAUAAAAAAAUAAAAUACAUAGGAAUUUAUUUUGAUAUUGCAUUCUUUCUUCACACUAGAUUUACAUAGAAUGCCACAAAGAAAGUCUUGACCCCACAUUAUAUUUGGACCAUUAUUUCAUGAUUUGGAGCACAGGUUUGAUUUCAUGCAUAAAUUAGCAUACUGUACAAGCUGUUAUUUUCGCGUACAGAAGUUUUCGCGAAUCGUGGAGGUCCCGACAUUUUCAUGGGUUGUUAAAUUCGCGAUCGGAAGAUGUACGAAACACUUCCACAGCAUUUUAAAGAAGCAAAACUAGUGCAAAUCAUGUGCAAAAAAAACACUUUUUCAUUACACAGGAUGUUUUCAAUAUCAAAUGUGUCAAUAUUUUUGCACGUUGUUCAAUUCACGGACGAUCGCCAAUUCGUAAAAUCCGUGAAAAUAAAGGCUUCGACAGUAAUCAAGGGAAUCAUCAUGGGAUUAAAGAGCCAGUUUUCAAACCAUUCAUAUGCAACAUACCUGAUGCUGUAGUUAUGAAGCUUGUAAGUAGUAUAACCAUUGUUAGGCGAAUCAAGCUUUCUUUAGUGUAGGUCAGCAAUUCUGUAUUGUUUAUAUAAUCGCUUGUUUGUUGAAUUAAUUUAUAUCAGAAUUAUGAAGUCAGUGGUUGUACAGUGCCUGACAAACAAUUUUUAUGGGGAAUGAUCUGGAGGUCUAAGUUUACAGAGGUCACGAUAUACUUGAACAUACUUUUUCUCACCAUAACUAAAUAACCACUUGAGAAUUCGAUUUCAAACGUUACUCCUGUACAUAUAUGCAUAUGGGAGUGACGAUGAACUGAAUAGAUAUUUAGGUUCAUGAGUUCAAAGUUGAAAGGUCACAUACAUCAUUUUUUAACAGUAAUAUCUCUCCCCAUGAGUUCAUAAUUUUAUACAUUUAAAUAUCUUGUUCUCCCAUUCUUAAGAACUGUAUGAGAGAACAUUUUCAAUCUUGGCUCAUGUAUGUAUACAUACAUAUAUGAGAGGAUGAUCUUAAUCAGAUUUUAGGGUCACAAUGCUAGGGGUCAAAGGUCACAGCUCAAUAGUGUGUAGAGCCUCAAAAAUUGUUAUGUUGGCCCAAAAUCGUAAAAUUUUGUCUUUUUUUAAAUACCUUCGCAGCUUUGCUGCUGCGCUGCACAAAGAAAUCAUGCAUGAGAUGAUAUAUUUAUGAAGUCAAACAUUCAUACAGUCAAAAUGCAUAUUGGAAUGAUUUUUGAAGCCAUUGAAUACAAAUGUGUUUCUCACAAACACAUAGCAUUUGUAUAUUUUGGGUCUGCUAACAAAACCAUAGCGACCCUGUGGGGUUUUUUUUGUUGGCAUUUUACGGUUGGUCAGAUGAGGGCAACAUAAGAAAUUUUUAGGCCUAGUGUUUGAAAAGUGCUCUUAUAAAUAUCAGAUCAUUUAACAUUCAUAAAAAGUUUAUGAAAAGUGUUUCACAAAUAGUUAAAAACUGACUAAAAGUCUGUUUAAGUACUAAUGAAUUUUAUAUCACAUGUUUAACUUGCAGUCUCGAUUUAUGCAUGUAUGCUAUAGAACAUAUCCUCUGAUUCUGAUCCAACCAAUAUGGUGAUCUGUUAUUUUCCACACACAAGUGUAAAGUUUAGAGAAAUUUUUAGUAACACAUAAAUCUUUGUGAAACACCUCUUUGAUUUGUAUCUUGCAUCACAUGUUCUAGGGACAGUGAUAUCCGCUUACUGGUAAAUCAAAACAGUUAUCUAUUUUGGUUCUUUACUUUACAUGUAAUAAUUUGUUGAAUUUCCCUCUGAAAAACAGAAUUCAUGUUUUUUGAUGUGUACACUUUCUAUGACAAAAUGGAAUUUUCAUUUUAGAUCAAGCUCGAAGUGGAGUAAUAGUUUUUCAGAAAGAGAGAAGACCAUUUUUUUAAAGUGAAAAUCACUGUCCCUAAUAUGUCGAAUAGCUUGGACCUGCCCUAUACAUGUAGUUUAUGAUUGUCUGUACUGUAUACUUGCUUUGUAUUCAUGAUUUCAUUUUUCUUUCUUGAAACAAAUGUAAGACCAGCAGCUGAGAAGAUUCAUUCAAGUUGGAGGGCCAUAGCAGUUGACCUCAUCAAUGGCGGUAGGCCCUAAACCUUACAAACAUGGCUACCUGUCUGGUUUGAGCUGGGAUCUUCCUGUCAGAAUCAC